Molecule: ribosomal RNA, 430 nt
Filed under: Bacteroidota bacterium
Lineage: Bacteria; Pseudomonadati; Bacteroidota
Description: Bacteroidetes bacterium partial 16S ribosomal RNA
Rfam family: Bacterial small subunit ribosomal RNA
Source: RNAcentral
UAGGGAAUCUUCGGCAAUGGGGGGAACCCUUACCGAGCAACGCCGCGUGAGUGAAGAAGGUUCUCGGAUCGUAAAGCUCUUUUGUUAAGUAAGAACGAGUGUGAGAAUGGAAAGUUCAUGCUGUGACGGUACUUAACCAGAAAGGGACGGCUAACUACGUGCUAUCAGCCGCGGUAAUACGUAGGUCCCGCGCGUUGUCCGGAUUUAUUGGGCGUAAAGCGGGCGCAGGCGAUCAAUUAAGUCUGAUGUGAAAGCCCCCGGCUCAACCGGAAAAGGUCAAUGGGAGCUGGUUGAGGUGGGUGAAGAGGGGGAGGGUGGAAUUCCAUGUGUAGCGGGGAAAGGCGGAGAUAGAUGGGGAGACAGCGGUAACGGGAGCGGCUCUCUGGACUGUGACAGACGAUGAGGCUCGAAAGCGUGGGGGGCGAAGAGG